CAUCAUGGACAUCAGGCCCAGAGCCAUGAAGGACACCACCUGAAACAGACACAUACAGUGUCUCUAUUAUUUGUUUCUAACGGAAAUGGCUGCCUGUUUCAUAGGCCAUAGCAGUAACCUUUGGAACUGCAGAAUAGGAAGACCCAACGCAUAUAAGUCAGACCCUCCCACUCCCCUCAGUCCUGACCCCCAAAUCAGAUCCAAAACAUUUAACCGCCCUCUGAAGUCUUUUCUGAACUUGUGAAAUAUUUGCUCUGCUUUGAAGGGUUCUACGUUCAUAAUGACCAUAGGAUAGGCAUGUUUAGGGACACAGAGAGGCCAUACAGGAGAGGUUUCCUGAGGUGGUCGACCCAAUACAAAGACCGGGGCUGUGUUUACAUCUGGGCUCGGGCCUGAAACAACAGGCCUGACAGAGGGAGGCCAAAGCUGGAACAUCCGACAUCUGGAUAGAGGGAGAUCAACUUCACAGCUCCAUGCUGCAGCUUUACACAUCAUCCUCAUCCUUCACUAUCUCACUAUUUCACACCAAAAUCAACCAUAUGUCCAAUUUU
Long non-coding RNA from Etheostoma cragini (Arkansas darter), 551 nucleotides. RefSeq lists it as uncharacterized. The record is from RefSeq and is a predicted model, not a curated record. Lineage: Eukaryota; Metazoa; Chordata; Actinopteri; Perciformes; Percidae. The transcript has 2 exons.